Molecule: unclassified non-coding RNA, 231 nt
Filed under: Hevea brasiliensis (rubber tree)
Lineage: Eukaryota; Viridiplantae; Streptophyta; Magnoliopsida; Malpighiales; Euphorbiaceae
Source: RNAcentral
GGAAGUAACAUCAUUAUGUGAAGUUACUCUAGACCUGUCUGGCACUAUUGCCAGUGCUGACUGACCACUAUGAGCUCUCUGAAAAGACUCGGUCAUCUGUUUCGACUGAGAUGCAAACCUAUCAAAAUAUGCAUUGACAGGUUGAGUGGUCGCUGCACGUGUGCCCAUAUCAUACAUGUGCGGAUUAUGGAUAUGACUUCUUGAAUGAGGAAAUCCAGGGGAAAGAGCAGC